AGCUGCCUGGGAAGAGAGCCAAUGGAAGGACUUUGUUUGACCCAGCUGCCAAUCUCCCCUGAAGCCGUGCGCCAGACUAAACACUCACACUAUUUUAACUCAAAUCAGGCUACAGCAGCUGUUUGCUUUCCGGCUCUGAGCUCUGCACCCACGAUGGCCUGUGCCGUUUACCCAGCGAGCUCUGCUAGCUGCCUGGCUGGAAUCUGUUCCGGGUUGGGAGUUGUCAUUGGAGAGCACGUUUUAACCCUCUUCCUCGUGGUAAAUGUGGACCGUUUGUUGUUCGGCAUUUGGAUCGGCCUUUGUGUGCAUCAGGAACAAGGCCCCUACCACGCACCUCUAAGAACAAAGAUGGUACCUAUUCACCCCGACCCAGACUUCUUCGACCCUAGCAAGAUGGAAAGUUGGCAUCAGAGGAGCGGAGAGACUCACGUCAUUCUAAGAGUCAGUACUGACUGCUUAAUGCUCCCGCGAGUUCCUCCAGAAGCAACACCCAAGCACGCAAGCAGGAGCCAAACAUUGCAUACGUGGAGAAAAUAAAUCAGUCAGUCAUUCAACGUGGAAAAGAGAGAGAAGUGGAGAAGAAUGUGAUAACAUUGACUAUAACCAAGCUAGUCUUACUCCUGACCAAAUUUCUAAUUCGGGACAACGAUGGUGAGAGAAGACAGACAGUAUUUUUUCUCUUAGGGAUUUUAGCUUCUGUUGUUGCACUGGGAUAAAAAGAUGUCUCUUCAUUUAGGGCAAAUAGCCACUAAGACUUUUAUUUUCUAAUGUAACUAAUUUAGUUCAUACUGUAGUCAGAAGACGAGCAAAAAAAAAAAAAAUGUUUCUGAAAUACUGUAAAAGUAUGUCCAGGAAUUUUUUCAGAAAGUUUUUUCUUCUUGUUUAAACAGAGAGUUUACCUUGUUUCUAUUCCUGUCCCCAAAUGACAUGUCUGUUUUCUUAUCUUAGAAACUAGAGGUCUAAAUUAGAAAAAUUGUAAUUUUAUAAUAAAAUGUUAUUUCUUCAGAUAGGAAGUGGCGAAGAUGGUUACAGAGAGGUUGAACUAUUGGGUUUUAUGAGUGCACAUAAACUGAAAGACCCAAUUUAUUAAAAAUGCACAUCAAGAUAAUAGUGUGGAACAGGUGAUCCUUAUUCUGAAAGUAAUACAUGUAUAAUCCCAAAACCGUCUCCUU
Molecule: long non-coding RNA, 1172 nt
Filed under: Equus caballus (horse)
Lineage: Eukaryota; Metazoa; Chordata; Mammalia; Perissodactyla; Equidae
Description: lncRNA (ENSECAG00000056601.1)
Source: RNAcentral